This 123-nucleotide microRNA precursor is filed under the name Hordeum vulgare. RNAcentral describes it as "microRNA MIR1122". It matches the Rfam family "MIR1120/MIR1122 microRNA precursor family". The record is from RNAcentral. Lineage: Eukaryota; Viridiplantae; Streptophyta; Magnoliopsida; Poales; Poaceae.
UACAUACUCCCUCCGUCCGGAAAUACUUGUCCUAAAAUAGAUGUAUCUAGACUUAUUUUAGUUAUAGAUACAUUCAUUUUGUACAUUUCUAGGACAAGUAUUCCCGGACGGAGGGAGUACAUU